RNAcentral lists this ribosomal RNA (496 nucleotides) under uncultured bacterium. Its description in RNAcentral is "partial 16S ribosomal RNA". It matches the Rfam family "Bacterial small subunit ribosomal RNA", at positions 29 to 507 of the family's 1533-position model. The record is from RNAcentral.
AUGAACGCUGGCGGCGUGCCUAAUACAUGCAAGUCGAGCGAACAGACGAGGAGCUUGCUCCUCUGACGUUAGCGGCGGGCGGGUGAGUAACACGUGGAUAACCUACCUAUAAGACUGGGAUAACUUCGGGAAACCGGAGCUAAUACCGGAUAAUAUAUUGAACCGCAUGGUUCAAUAGUGAAAGACGGUUUUGCUGUCACUUAUAGAUGGAUCCGCGCCGCAUUAGCUAGUUGGUAAGGUAACGGCUUACCAAGGCAACGAUGCGUAGCCGACCUGAGAGGGUGAUCGGCCAAACUGGAACUGAGACACGGUCCAGACUCCUACGGGAGGCAGCAGUAGGGAAUCUUCCGCAAUGGGCGAAAGCCUGACGGAGCAACGCCGCGUGAGUGAUGAAGGUCUUCGGAUCGUAAAACUCUGUUAUUAGGGAAGAACAAAUGUGUAAGUAACUAUGCACGUCUUGACGGUACCUAAUCAGAAAGCCACGGCUAACUACGUG